Molecule: transfer RNA, 73 nt
Filed under: Nicotiana sylvestris (wood tobacco)
Lineage: Eukaryota; Viridiplantae; Streptophyta; Magnoliopsida; Solanales; Solanaceae
Rfam family: tRNA
About the family: Transfer RNA (tRNA) molecules are approximately 80 nucleotides in length. Their secondary structure includes four short double-helical elements and three loops (D, anti-codon, and T loops). Further hydrogen bonds mediate the characteristic L-shaped molecular structure. tRNAs have two regions of fundamental functional importance: the anti-codon, which is responsible for specific mRNA codon recognition, and the 3' end, to which the tRNAs corresponding amino acid is attached (by aminoacyl-tRNA synthetases). tRNAs cope with the degeneracy of the genetic code in two manners: having more than one tRNA (with a specific anti-codon) for a particular amino acid; and 'wobble' base-pairing, i.e. permitting non-standard base-pairing at the 3rd anti-codon position.
Source: Rfam by way of RNAcentral
GCUCUCGUGGCUCAGUUGGUUAGAGCGCUCCCUUAGCAAGCGGAGGUCUUGAGUUUGACUCUUGAUGAAAGCA